AACAACGGAUCUCUUGGUUCUGGCAUCGAUGAAGAACGCAGCGAAAUGCGAUAAGUAAUGUGAAUUGCAGAAUUCAGUGAAUCAUCGAAUCUUUGAACGCACAUUGCGCCGGCAGUAAUCUGCCUGUCCGAGCGUCAUUU
RNAcentral lists this ribosomal RNA (140 nucleotides) under Lomentospora prolificans. RNAcentral describes it as "5.8S ribosomal RNA". It matches the Rfam family "5.8S ribosomal RNA". Rfam says of the family: 5.8S ribosomal RNA (5.8S rRNA) is a component of the large subunit of the eukaryotic ribosome. It is transcribed by RNA polymerase I as part of the 45S precursor that also contains 18S and 28S rRNA. Functionally, it is thought that 5.8S rRNA may be involved in ribosome translocation. Lineage: Eukaryota; Fungi; Ascomycota; Sordariomycetes; Microascales; Microascaceae. The record is from RNAcentral.